Panicum virgatum (switchgrass) is the source of this 607-nucleotide long non-coding RNA. RefSeq lists it as uncharacterized. The record is from RefSeq and is a predicted model, not a curated record. NCBI's taxonomy places the organism in Eukaryota, Viridiplantae, Streptophyta, Magnoliopsida, Poales, Poaceae. The transcript is spliced from 2 exons.
UACACCCAUCCCUAAAAAGAUUCUGUAAAUUGACUUUAUUUACUACUUCAUGUAUAGAAGAUUCUCUCAUAGAAUAGAAUAGAAUAGUGUGAACCAAACACGGCCAUUUUGAAGGCCAGCUAUUUGGUUUCAUCUGUCACUUCAACUGAUCUUGUAGGAAAGCAUGAGGGCUUUGGCUGAUAUGAGAAGUGCAAAGGAGAAAGAACUCAAUGCUCUACUUUCUGGAGACAAUGAUUCCUGCUCUUGCUUCAUUGAGGUUCAGGCAGGGGCUGGUGGCACUGAGAGCACGGACUGGGCUGCAAUGGUCAUGAACAUGUGUAGAUCAUGGGCUCAGCGACGGGGAUAUACAAUCACUGUGGUAGAAGAGAUGCCUGGUGAAGAAUCAAGGUUUAUUUGUUUCUCAUUGAUACCUUUUGCUGAAUAAACGACUUAUUCGUAACGGCCCUUUUGCUAUUUAUAUAUCUUUUGCUAGAAACGUAUCCCUUCUUGGGAUACAUUUUGCCUUCUUCUGAGACAGUCACUUUCUAAUUCAAGUAUCAUGUAGUAAAAAGAACUCAUACUAAACUGCUGCUAUUUCCAGAGGGCCACUAUCAAAGUUGACGGUGAA